UCCUAUAUCUCAUUGGGGAUGAUAAAAUCCAGCAGGAGCUCGACGGAACAACGCGAAAUGUAAAAGUGUUCCAGGAUGUCUCUGCACAGAUGUCCGAACGCGAAUUUUCGAGGACUUUCCUGCAGUGUAGGGAAACACUGAAAAAGAUGAAGAGUGAAUAUCGCAUAAUAAAGGACAACAACAACACGAGUGGUGCGGGUCGCAAACAAUAGAAGUGGUUCGACUUGUUGGACCAGAUUAACGGCCAUAGACCGGCCAACGUUGGGAGGGAGGGAGGCCUGGACUCUGCAACGGCUUUACUGGAGUCCCUGCAAGAUGAUUACAUUGGGACUUGUGAGGAGGAACAUUCCCGAACAACGGGUGAUGGCAGUGUUCCCUCCACAUCGUCAUUGAAUCCAGAACGGACCCCAGCCGAAGACCCUAACCCGACUCAACCACCAACGCCGAGUGCCAUCACGACACCGCAGCGUGUGGUUCUAGGCAAGAGGAAACGAGGAGGAGAGGAUCGGGCCCAGCAGGAACGGCACCGUGAACAGCACAUGGCCCAGCAGGAACGGCACUUGGACUGGGCCAAAGUGUCUGCUGAGCGGAGAUGGGAGUUGGAUGCGGCCUUGAGAAGGGAGGAGGCCGUCUUGAGAAGGGAGGAGGCUGCUCAAACAGAGACCUUCAACCUAGCCUUCCUGCGCACUCUUGGGGAGGUGCUAGGGGGACUGGGCAGCCGACGUGGCCCGUCUCCUCCUCGUCCAACUUAAAAUAACCUUAAUAGUUAUUGUACAUAUUAUAUUUUUUUUUUCUAGUUAAUUUUUAAAUUUGUACUUUCUUGUUUAUUUAUUUUCUUUAA
Molecule: long non-coding RNA, 841 nt
Organism: Gymnodraco acuticeps
Lineage: Eukaryota; Metazoa; Chordata; Actinopteri; Perciformes; Bathydraconidae
Exons: 3
Source: RefSeq, a predicted model, not a curated record